UGGCUGUUUGUAGUAGCACACAGGUACGCAAGCGUCCAGAGGAACAAGGAAAACUUAAAUAUCAAAGAAGACAUUCAUUGGAUGGGAACAUGUAGUAGGUGGUUUUUAGCAUCAAAUACCAGUGAGAGUGGAAUAAAAUCGUUCCACGGUAUUUUCCCUCGUACAAACAAGGUUUAAAUAGCAUUUUGAUGCCAUUGAGAUGGGCCACCACUGACGCAGUUGUUGAUUGUGUAGCCGUUACAACCACCGAAUUCUUCCUACAAUACAUUAUAUCAAAUUUUUAUUACAAUCACAACUACUGUACCA
RNAcentral lists this long non-coding RNA (306 nucleotides) under Elaeis guineensis (African oil palm). RNAcentral's name for it is "long non-coding RNA (EGUI_LNC005077)". The record is from RNAcentral. Lineage: Eukaryota; Viridiplantae; Streptophyta; Magnoliopsida; Arecales; Arecaceae.